AGUAACGCGUGGGUAACCUGCCUCAUACAGGGGGAUAACAGUUAGAAAUGACUGCUAAUACCGCAUAAGCGCACAGUGCUGCAUGGCACAGCGUGAAAAACUCCGGUGGUAUGAGAUGGACCCGCGUCUGAUUAGCUAGUUGGUGGGGUAACGGCCUACCAAGGCGACGAUCAGUAGCCGGCCUGAGAGGGUGAACGGCCACAUUGGGACUGAGACACGGCCCAA
This 225-nucleotide ribosomal RNA is filed under the name uncultured bacterium. Its description in RNAcentral is "partial 16S ribosomal RNA". It matches the Rfam family "Bacterial small subunit ribosomal RNA", at positions 109 to 334 of the family's 1533-position model. The record is from RNAcentral.